Non-coding RNA from Leptonychotes weddellii (Weddell seal), 2148 nucleotides. NCBI's taxonomy places the organism in Eukaryota, Metazoa, Chordata, Mammalia, Carnivora, Phocidae. The record is from RefSeq and is a predicted model, not a curated record.
UCUUUGGCAGCCAGGCACUCUCUAACUCCAGUUUGUGGACAAUAAAUAAUGGUGCAGCUUGCAGAAUUUCAAGUGCUACAGCUGGUGGCCAGAAGCCAACCACUCUGCCACAAAAAGUGGUGCCACCUCCAAGUUCUUCCUCCUCGCUGGUCCCCAAGCCCCCAGCCAAUCACAAACAAGUCCUCAGAAAGACGACAUCCCAGAGGGCCUCCAAAUCCUGCUCACACUAAGAGAUGAGCCGCAACUGCAUGGAGGAAGAACCUGUUUGCUACUCCCGCUCCAGCAGGGGUGUGGGGCCGAAGCAUCCACCAGCACUGCAAGGGGUCCACGGUAUUUUUUUUUUUUUUUUUUUUUGCUGCCUCAGUCCCCAGAGCCUUCAAGCAACAGUGGCUGUAGAUUGUUGCCAAUCAGCCAAUCCAGAAUUUUACUGAGACGACGGGAUAACACAUCCGCUGGGUUUUGACUGAACUUGGUAGUGGGGACAUUCAACUGAUAUGUUAUAUACCCCAUCAGAGCACACAUGUAUCUUUUAUCCCUUUUACCUCCCGCCCCCCCAAACCCACUUAGGCUUCCUCUGUCCCUUUCCUGCUACCACACAGAGAUGAUAUAAAAGAGGCUCUUUGGCUAUUUGCAUUUUGCUUCCUCUUCUUUUCCAGAUUGCAGUAUUAAGCUUUACUUCCCACAAGCCUAAAAUCCCAACAUAAUCUACCAAAGUUGUUCUUCCCUUUUCCGAGGGGUCGGGGGAAGGGGGAAGCAUACAUCACAAGCUUCCCAGAGAGCGGAACAAAGUCGGUGUGCUGUUGACCACAUGAGCCGUGGUGAAGGCACCCUUUGGAAUUACUGAUUUCUAAAAUUAAUAAAGUAAUUCUAUUUUUAUUUUCUUUUUCCAUUUACUAAUUUCCCAACAAUCAGUAUUCACAAACAAGCCUGAAGUGGAACCAACUUCUCGUUUUCUUUCAUUGCUGGGCAAUUUUUUAAACUACGUUUUAGAAAUGUGAACUACAAAGAGAUGUUUUAUUCUUCCAUUUGGUUUCAGCAGAUCGUGGGUCCAGGCUCUUCCCCACAGGCAGCUCCUGAACCUGGGAAGCUCGUAUGUGCACAUGUCUCCAUUAUCGGCCCGCCAUGGACAGGUCCUCUAGGGGUCCUCAUCAGAAUGAGGCGGCACAGCCCUCCCAGACGCCUUUCCACUUGACCUCUGCCCCCUCUCCUCACCUUUCCCUGGUCCCCUCUCUGGCUUCUACUGAAGAAAAGGUUGAAAGGUGGGCUGCAGAGCCCGACUGAAGGACUGACAGCUACCCUGGGGAGUUACUGGGGGAGGAUCCAGAGUCUGGGUUUUCCUACAGCAGGGUACUCUAGACUCAGCAUUGAAACCCCAAAGGAAAAAUGACACCCAACAAGGCAGAGAGAAAAGGGAUUUUAUUGACUUCUUAGUGAAUGCAAACAGGUUUGAGCACAUGGAAGCAUUUUGUUUGCUUGUGAGGAAUGAAGACUGUCCCUUGAGGGAGGGGAGAGAAUGUAUUUGUGAUGUUCCUGGGACUUCUGGUUAGUAGUUUGAGGACCAUCUUAACUGUUGGCUAACUUGGUUGUGAAUUGGUUAGGAGACAAAUCAGAAUUCCUUCAUGACUUUCCUGGUGAUGGGAAGACCCAGGAAAUAAGUUAUAUGGGAGAUGCCGCAUAAGAACCAUGUGAGAAAGGACAAGAGGGUAUGAGCCCAGGGAAAGAACCUUGAGACCAACUAGACUGCUUGGAAUUGGCCUAGGUAACCAUUAGAAUUGGGUCCUCAGGCUAAUUUCUUACUGCACUCUCCAUGUGCUUAUCGGCUGUUAAGACCAGACUCCAGAUCUCGCCUUCAUUUAACCAAGUACUUUUGUGUCAUUUUUACUGGUACUGGACUUCGCUUGGUAAUAAACGAGACCGAUUAUAUGAUUUCCCCCCUCCAGCCACGGUGUCAUUUCCAGUGUCCCUCCCUCCCCUCCCCCAGAACAAGUGUGUAUCUUUUCAGACAGACAGACAAUGGCUCAGGUUUCUGUAGCGCCUCUAAGUGACACGUGGAAUGGAAAGGCUGGACUUCAGACCCCCGCCCAUAUCUGUAUCUGCUGAUAAAGAUAAGAAUAGAGCUCUCAUAUAAAAAGGACAUUUGGAAUCACA